RNAcentral lists this ribosomal RNA (253 nucleotides) under uncultured bacterium. RNAcentral describes it as "partial 16S ribosomal RNA". It matches the Rfam family "Bacterial small subunit ribosomal RNA", at positions 524 to 776 of the family's 1533-position model. The record is from RNAcentral.
UACGUAGGGUGCAGGCGUUAAUCGGAAUUACUGGGCGUAAAGCGUGCGCAGGCGGUCUUUUAAGUCAGAUGUGAAAUCCCCGGGCUUAACCUGGGAAUGGCCAUGGAAACUGGCGAGCUGGAGUGUGGCAGAGGGGGGUGGAAUUCCGCGUGUAGCAGUGAAAUGCGUAGAGAUGCGGAGGAACACCGAUGGCGAAGGCAGCCCCCUGGGUUGACACUGACGCUCAGGCACGAAAGCGUGGGGAGCAAACAGG